Molecule: long non-coding RNA, 1489 nt
Organism: Amphiprion ocellaris (clown anemonefish)
Lineage: Eukaryota; Metazoa; Chordata; Actinopteri; Pomacentridae
Exons: 2
Source: RefSeq, a predicted model, not a curated record
UCAUAAAACUGUGGCUGGUUGACAUUAAUGUAACGUUCAGGAAACUUAAAUGUGAUUAAAACAGUAACGUUAAUGUUCUAGUUGUCAGUAAUCAGCUUUAAUUUGACACUAAAACAGACUCUGAUAGUUUUAAAUGACAUCAGUUUCAUUAAUUUGCUGAAAAUUGUCUCAUUUGUUGUUGUGAUGUUGCUGCUGAUUCAUUAAAAGCAGAUGAUCCGUGUUGAAGAUACAUUUAGUUCUAGUAUCAGAAGUACAAGAAGGAAAAUGGAAGUUUAGUUCUGCUACGUCAAAGAUUUAAGGAAUAAAAUAACUAAAUGAGUCUUUAUGCCUCAAACUUUAUUUCACAAUAAAGAAAUAAUGAAAUAAUCACAGAUAAUAAAAAUAUAAAUAGCAGAGAAAACCUAAGAAUAAUUUCCUGAAAACUCUGUGAAGGAAAAGCAGCUUUUUAUCCUGAAAGAUCAGAAUCAGCUCCAACAUCUGCAUCUGACAGCAUCAAGUCAACCAGAAAGAAAAGAAAAAAGAAAAUGACUUCUUUCUGAUCACAUCUGUUCCGCUGCUCACAGUCUGCUGCUGCUCACAUUCUUCACAUUUAUAGUCCACUUUUAAAAGUUCAGCAGACAGGUGCUCUGCUUUGGAGUGUGAUGAUGUCAUCGGUGAUGUAGAGAGUGAAGUUUCCGUUUCACCCACAGCAUGCUUUAGGGCAGCCGGGUCGGACUUGAUGUUUGAAAUACUGACCGACAGCUCAGAUUUAACUGUCUGUAGUUCCGUUUUGAUGGGUGUUAAACUUUCACUCAAAGCCGCCAGGAGCUGGGUCUUUAAAAUAACUGCCGUCUCGUUACAGAGUGAAAGUAGCAGUUCCUCCUUAAAGUGAGAGAUUGCAGCAUCUGAGGGCCUCUUCAAAAGAAGACGUAGUUGAUGAAGGCGUUCUGGAACAGGACCAGAAAGACCACGACCAAGCAGCCUUGAGAUCUUAGGCAGCGUCUCCCUGAGGUCCCUCUCUAUCUCCCCACACAUCCACCAACCACUGGAACACAUCUCCAAAGUUCUGCCGGGCCAGCUCAGCUUCCCCUCAGAAGAAGUUCCACCACCUGCCAGAUGAAGGAGCCUUUUGAGAGGCAGCUGGCAUCGUGAUUGGACUGUACUUUGGUCUGUUCCAAUCCAGCUUCAGCUCCAGAGACGGCAGGCGAGACGAGUCAACGGAGGCCGGGUGGACGAAGGCAUGCAGCUGAGUACAAUCCAGAAAACAACAGAGGAGGAGUGCAGCGGCCCAGAGCCAGAACAAACAGAGUAGCAUCGUAUGUCUCUUAGAAAACAUCAUAGUAUAGCCUUUGGUAUGAAAAAACGCCAUCAUAUACAUCGUAUAUUGUACAAAUAACAGGUCAAAGGAAAGAGACAUACAUUGUAGAAUUGUAGUAAUUGUGGGCUGACUGAUUUACUGAUUAUCAGUAUUUUAUUUUUUACUGAUUUACGGUAAUAAAUACAUUUAAAA